RNAcentral lists this ribosomal RNA (254 nucleotides) under uncultured bacterium. RNAcentral's name for it is "partial 16S ribosomal RNA". It matches the Rfam family "Bacterial small subunit ribosomal RNA", at positions 524 to 776 of the family's 1533-position model. The record is from RNAcentral.
UACGUAGGGUGCGAGCGUUGUCCGAAGUUACUGGGCGUAAAGCGCGCGUAGGCGGCCAUCUAAGUUCGGGGUGAAAGGUUCAACGCUCAACGUGAACAGUGCCCUGAAUACUGGCUGGCUUGAGUUCGGGAGGGGGCAGUGGAAUUCCAGGUGUAGCGGUGAGAUGCGUAGAUAUCUGGAGGAACACCGAUGGCGAAGGCAGCUGCCUGGCCCAGAACUGACGCUGAGGUGCGAAAGCGUGGGGAGCGAACGGG